RNAcentral lists this ribosomal RNA (253 nucleotides) under uncultured bacterium. RNAcentral's name for it is "partial 16S ribosomal RNA". It matches the Rfam family "Bacterial small subunit ribosomal RNA", at positions 524 to 776 of the family's 1533-position model. The record is from RNAcentral.
UACGUAGGGGGCAAGCGUUGUCCGGAAUCAUUGGGCGUAAAGAGCGUGUAGGCGGCCCGGUAAGUCCGCUGUGAAAGUCCAGGGCUCAACCCUGGGAUGCCGGUGGAUACUGUCGGGCUCGAGUCCGGAAGAGGAGUGUGGAAUUCCUGGUGUAGCGGUGAAAUGCGCAGAUAUCAGGAGGAACACCGGUGGCGAAGGCGGGACUCUGGGCCGAUACUGACGCUGAGGAGCGAAAGCGUGGGGAGCGAACAGG